UGUCUGCAAGGCUGGAUCCCAAGGGCUGCCCAGAGGGGAAAAGAAGCAGAAGUGGUCUACUGCUGGGGUCUCGGCAACACGUCCUCUGCUACCCUCUCCCCAAGCAGAUGCUUAGCAGGCACUCGGCAGACAUCAGAGUAUUUAGGGAACUGGUUUCCACUAAAUCCCUGAAAUGAUUCACUAAGCACAGAAGCAGUCAUCACCUGAUUUCACACUUUGAAGUUAAAAGACACCUAAAAAAUCACUCAAGCUCUCUACAUGCACAAAGGCUAAGAAGCAAGAAGUUACCCAGCAUCCUCUUGACACCAGAGUUUCCACCUCUCAAACAUCAAGGGUUAGUGAAGAUGCAAAUCAGAGCAGCAGCUUGGGGGCUACCCAAUAAACAACUACAGACUACAAAGUACUGAAUUUGCCACUGACCAUGAAGCUAAGGAAGUGACAAGGCUCACCUCCACAACUCACUAACACCUCACACAGGACCAGUGUGAGCCUGUCUGGGACUGAUUACUUACUUCCCUGUGGCUCAUGUGUAGCAUCCAGAUACCAAGACCUGCAAAUGAUUAAUGCAUAGCACUUUUGGGACUCGACACAGUGGGCUUUUUUUUUUUUUAAGAUUUUAUUUAUUUAUUCAUGAGAG
This is a long non-coding RNA of Canis lupus familiaris (dog), 637 nucleotides long. RefSeq lists it as uncharacterized. The transcript has 3 exons. Lineage: Eukaryota; Metazoa; Chordata; Mammalia; Carnivora; Canidae. The record is from RefSeq and is a predicted model, not a curated record.